UCCGGUUGAUCCUGCCAGAGGCCGCUGCUAUCCGGCUGGGACUAAGCCAUGCUAGUCUAGGGGCUUGUACCCCUUCGGGGGUGCAAGCACCGGCGGACGGCUCAGUAACACGUGGACAACCUGCCCUCGGGUGGGGGAUAACCCCGGGAAACUGGGGCUAAUCCCCCAUAGGUGAUGGGUGCUGGAAUGCCCCAUCUCCGAAAGCGCUCAGCGCCCGAGGAUGGGUCUGCGGCGGAUUAGGUAGUUGGUGGGGUAACGGCCCACCAAGCCUAAGAUCCGUACGGGCUGUGGGAGCAGGAGCCCGGAGAUGGACCCUGAGACAAGGGUCCAGGCCCUACGGGGCGCAGCAGGCGCGAAACCUCCGCAAUGCGGGAAACCGCGACGGGGUUAGCCGGAGUGCCCGUGCAUUGCACGGGCUGUCGGGGUGCCUAAACAGCACCCCAUAGCAAGGGCCGGGCAAGGCCGGUGGCAGCCGCCGCGGUAAGACCGGCGGCCCGAGUGGCGGCCACUCUUAUUGGGCCUAAAGCGUCCGUAGCCGGCCCAGUAAGUCCCCCGGGAAAUCUGGUCGCUUAACGAUCAGACUUCCGGGGGAUACUGCUGGGCUAG
Molecule: ribosomal RNA, 606 nt
Filed under: uncultured archaeon
Lineage: Archaea
Description: bacterial SSU rRNA
Rfam family: Archaeal small subunit ribosomal RNA
Source: RNAcentral